AUGAAUUUCUAUAAUCUUGUCAUUAUCCUCUAAUCCAAUAGACGCAAUUAUUUCCAAAGAAUCAUCCAAUCCAUUUUCUUCAUAAACACCAAAAUUCCUCUCAUCAUCUUCUAUUGUUCCUAACUUGCGUAAUUUCCUUUCAAUAUUAUAUAUAUAUUUUUCUUUCUUUUCUUUUUAGUUCAUCAACUCACUUAUACAAAAUAU
RNAcentral lists this long non-coding RNA (204 nucleotides) under Physcomitrium patens. Its description in RNAcentral is "long non-coding RNA (PPAT_LNC010446)". The record is from RNAcentral. Lineage: Eukaryota; Viridiplantae; Streptophyta; Bryopsida; Funariales; Funariaceae.